Molecule: non-coding RNA, 32 nt
Filed under: Trypanosoma brucei brucei
Lineage: Eukaryota; Euglenozoa; Kinetoplastea; Trypanosomatida; Trypanosomatidae
Source: RNAcentral
AAUAACAUAGAGCAAUGACCGAGUAAUGAUAU